Crucibulum laeve is the source of this 111-nucleotide non-coding RNA. NCBI's taxonomy places the organism in Eukaryota, Fungi, Basidiomycota, Agaricomycetes, Agaricales, Nidulariaceae. The record is from the annotation of a GenBank genome assembly.
GGCGCUAUAGCCAAGUGGUUACGGCGACAGAUUAGAAUGCAUAAAAGUUUGCGAUCUACAAAUUCCAUCUGUUCCUCUUUGAGGGCGCAGGUUCAAAUUCUGCUGGCGUCG